GGAUGAACGCUGGCGGCGUGCUUAACACAUGCAAGUCGAACGGAAAGGCUCCUGCUUGCAGGGGUACUCGAGUGGCGAACGGGUGAGUAACACGUGGGUGAUCUGCCCUGCACUUCGGGAUAAGCCUGGGAAACUGGGUCUAAUACCGGAUAGGACGAUGGUUUGGAUGCCAUUGUGGAAAGUUUUUCGGUGUGGGAUGAGCUCGCGGCCUAUCAGCUUGUUGGUGGGGUAAUGGCCUACCAAGGCGUCGACGGGUAGCCGGCCUGAGAGGGUGUACGGCCACAUUGGGACUGAGAUACUGCCCAGACUCCUACGGGAGGCAGCAGUGGGGAAUAUUGCACAAUGGGCGCAAGCCUGAUGCAGCGACGCCGCGUGGGGAAUGACGGCCUUCGGGUUGUAAACUCCUUUCGCUAGGGACGAAGCGCAAGUGACGGUACCUGGAGAAGAAGCACCGGCUAACUACGUG
RNAcentral lists this ribosomal RNA (466 nucleotides) under uncultured bacterium. RNAcentral describes it as "partial 16S ribosomal RNA". It matches the Rfam family "Bacterial small subunit ribosomal RNA", at positions 27 to 507 of the family's 1533-position model. The record is from RNAcentral.